AUGAGUUAUUUGGAAAACAAAGUUUUCUUGACAUGUGUGAAACUUCCAAAGAAACGAAAACAGAAAUCAACUACAAUGAAAACUCUACAUAAAAGUAUGUGGAUAAUUCAAAAAUCGGAAGAAAAAACUAGCAAUGAAACUGAUAGUGGUUUAGCUGAAAACUUGAUAUUCGACCAACCUUAUAGUCGAAUAUUCGACCAACCUUAUAGUCGAAUAUUCGAUCGCUGAAUAUUCCUCGGAACGUUGCCAUUUGGUGCAUCGCAAGAUACAUUCUUGCGUAGGCGGCGCGUGAACGGUAGGGGAGACUCGAUCCAAUUCGGAUAUUUUCGUUGUUGUAUUACAUAUUCGAACCUUCUUGAAAGCUGAAUUAGAAGUUCGUUUUAACCCCAUAACUCAAGAUCCAAACUUCUUGAUUGUGACCUAUACCCGAGGUUCAAACCAAACUUCCUGGGGGAGAAGAGGCAGAGUUGCUUUUUGAUGGAUCGAGUCAGUUUAUACGGUAUUCGAAUCAUAACUCGAUUCCCUGAUUCGAGACAGUACUCGAAUUCUAUGUUUGAUAUUCGAAUAUUGACUCGAGUUCGGCUGGACUCGAGUCUAGAAAUUCGAGUCUGAAAAUUCUAGUCCAGAACUAGAGUCCGAUUUUCGAACAAUCGGGAAAAAUGAAAAGGAGUUAACUUCAAACAGCGUGUAAGUUAGGUUAAGAAUAAUGACACAACAAUAAUAAAUCAAUAAUUCAGUUUAAAAAUGGUUGGAAGAGUGCAUUAUGAAUAAAAAAACCAACUGUAUAUUGUUAUUGAUUUUUUAUAUCGGCAAAUAAAAUUAAUCGGCUAUUUUUUUUUACUUUAUUCUAAUAUUUGAAUAUUUUGCGUACGAUCGUGGUGGGCAGCCCAUUAAGUUACCACAAACUGUCAAAUUUUCCCAAACGGAAACCACCCUUAUUAUUUCGCUAUAAAGUUCAAAAUUGAUUACAGAAAUUUGACAGAUUUAUAUAGCUUGACGUAUAUAUAGUACGGUUGGCAACGCUUGUACGAGCGAGUUAACCAAAUUCGAAUACGAGACUCGAGUCAGUUGGAGUUUGGACUCACAUAAAUAGAAUCGAGUUAGCGAAUCGAUUCUUCCUGACUCGAGUCCGGCGUUCAAAAUAAAUUGGUAUUCGAGUUCUAAAGCAGGAAUCGAGUCUGACUCGAGCCAAACCGUACUCGACACAUCGCAUAUAUAUAUUGAAAUACUGAGGUUUUUCAGGUUCGAGUUUGAACUGCCAUGAUCAGCUAGUGAAAUUUUUAUGAAAAACUGGUUUUCUCCAAUUAAAGGCCAUCUGUACAAUUUUUUACAACAGGGUUGCCAUCAGAGUUAAAUUUCUGAAAAUUGUAGAAAUUGGAUCUCUAAUUCAUCAAAAAUACUUUCAUGGAGAGAAUGAAACGUAAUUACAAAAUUACUUUUUGCAAAAUAGCACUAGCUUCAUUAAUUUCAGAAGCAGACAGCGAAAUUGAAACUACGCCUUCAAAUAUGUAAUAUUUAGAAAAUUAGAUCGUUAUUCAAAGAUUUUUCUAACUUUUGGAACCCAUUAUUGGAAUCCCUAACUUUUCAUACUGAAGCUCAAGACAUUAAGGGCUUUUGGCAAUAGAUAUCACCUGACCUUAUAUCAACUUGAUAUAAAUGAAACACUCGAAUUUCUAACAGAGGCAUAUAUAAACCACCAUAAUUCGAAGAGUUGGAGCCAGUUGAUUUAUUCAUGCUGUGAAGCAAUGGAAAUAAUUAUCAAGCCUACAAACAGGAAUUUGAGAAGAAAUCAGUUGGGCAAAGACAUAUUCGGAAAAGAUUCUGCAGUGGGUGCAAUUAAUGGUUUGAUUGCUUUAAUGAAGAAGGAAUGGAAUUUACCUAAUUUGUUGCCUAUUCACUGCUUGCUGCAUCAAGACACUUUGACAUGUGAAAUUUCGGAUAACAAAUUGAAAGAUGUAAGCAUUAUUAUAAAUGUUAUUCGCUCGCGCUAAGUUAAUCAAUGAAAUUUCAACGACCUUCUUGAGAAUUACAAGCUAAUUAUAGUGGUGUUAUCUUACAUACAGCUGUCAGACGGUUGAGCAAAGGAAAAGUAUUAGAACGGUUCUUUCAAAUAAAACCCACAACUUUUUUUUACAACAAAAUGGCAAAAAAUUCCCACAACUAUGGCAAAAUGAAUGGUGGCUACUUGUGGCUCUUUUGACCAAUAUUACUAUGAAAUUCCAUAGUCUUAUUUUCAAAAUGCAAGUAAGUAACAAGAUAUAUGGGCAAAUGACAAAUAAAGUAUUCGCAUUUGAAUACAAACUGCAAUAACUCGCUCUACUAUUGGAUUGCUCAAACUCAGUACAAGACGGACACAUUCAGAAAUAAUAUUCAUACAUAAAUUGUUGAACAACGAAAUUAAUUUCCCAACUCUUCUAUGUAAAGUCAAUCUGCAUGUUCCCCCGAGAAGGACACGUAACAAUCAAACUUUCAGUCUCGACUUUCAUAGGUGUAAUUAUGGAAAACAUUCUCUUUUGUCCAGAAUUCUAUCGAAUGCUAAUGGAACCAAUAUUGAUUUUCGUCAUAUCUCUCAGAGCACUCUUAGAUACACUUUGCGUGGUUUAGAUUUAUAAGAUUAUUUUUUUAAUCACAAUUUUAUUAAAAUUUUCUCUAUGUAGGUUGAUUUAUUAGAUAUGUAGAACUAGAAUAGUUAACUUUCUAAGGUUAAUAUAUUGUAUAAAAAUUGGGGGUUACCUAUUGAAUAAAUAAAUAAAUGAAUAAAAAACUCGAAGCAGGGGAUUUUUCAAAUUUUCCAACUGUUGUUGCUCUGCAAUCGGAAGUUUCUAUUCCUAACAGUACUGCCUAUUAAAAUAUGAUAUCCUAUUUGAAAGUAUAUCUGCUAGAAAUUCAAAAUAGAUUUU
Leptinotarsa decemlineata (Colorado potato beetle) is the source of this 2900-nucleotide long non-coding RNA. RefSeq lists it as uncharacterized. NCBI's taxonomy places the organism in Eukaryota, Metazoa, Arthropoda, Insecta, Coleoptera, Chrysomelidae. The record is from RefSeq and is a predicted model, not a curated record.